Non-coding RNA from Python bivittatus (Burmese python), 1511 nucleotides. Lineage: Eukaryota; Metazoa; Chordata; Lepidosauria; Squamata; Pythonidae. The record is from RefSeq and is a predicted model, not a curated record.
UAGCGACGGCAAUCCUGGCAGUCCCGGUUGCUGACAUAACCCGAAGACGUGUGGGUUGCUAAGUGGGAAGCAGAAGGAGUCCCAGGCCCCUCCAAAGGCCUCCUGGAGGCGAUCCUUCCUUUUGGUCUGAAAUAAGAGGCAGCGGGAAUAAUCCUUAAUGGUUACCGAGUUCAGAAGUCUAUAAACAAGGAAUUAUCUUCCUUUUUUUUUUUUUUUUUCAAAAAAGCCGCAGAUGCUGGAGAUGUAGAACGGUGGACAGAUCUUCAGGUUGUCGUCCAGAACUCUUGAGCAGAUGUGGGAUACGGCCCUUUGGGUGGGAUCUGGGCUCCAGGAACUCAGCUGAGGGUAGAGUCACAGACCCAGCGGGGAGGCUGCUGCUCCUCCCCUGAAACAUCUUGGACUUCUUUGGCAAGGAAGCGGGUCAAGGCAGUUGUGCAGGAGGAGAGAAGAAAAGGGCCUGCCAGUCGGGGCUGUGCCAGCUCCUGCUCCCUGGCUCCCAGUGGAUAUCUGAGUUUGUAGCCAGCCUGUGCCCAGCGUGAUGGAAGCGGUGAUGUAGAGUGUUUUUUUCUAGUCAGCUCAGAUUAAUCGCAAACGUUGCUGGCUCGUCGACAGACCGGAAGUCGCUCCCAUCUUUCUCCAGAGGUUUUCUUCUGCACCACAGCAGGCAGGCUCAGAGUAAGGCAAACAAAUGAUCACUGAAUCCACUGGUUACUUUAAAUGCCUGACAGGCCCAGUGCCCUCUCCCCGGGGUUCUUUUCAUCCUCACUCAGUGUGAGCCAAAGAAAACAUUCAUCCCAAUUGCAUCCUGCCCUGAGAAACUGGAAGAAGCCCUGGAAUUUUCCAGGGGAGAGGCAGAAAGGUGGACCUGAAAGGGCGGGAGAGCCAUGGUUUGCGGAUGGUGACUCUGAUUCCCUGGCUGGGGCUUCAGUCCCUCUGGAGGUUCGAGACUAGCUGCCCUGCCAGGCUUUGACUCCCGGCCCGGGGCUCCGUUCUCAGCCACAGGCUCAGCCUUCUUACUGUUUCCUGGGCGUGCUCAGCAGGCGAAACAAAGCAAGAGUGCAAAGUUAACAUUAACAAGGUUUGCACGCUGUGCGAAUCCAUCUGCUAGCUUAGCCUGAGCUGAGUAAUCAUGCACGUCCUGUGAAACGGAAGGUCGAGAAAAUGCUUUCAGUUUGCGAGUAGCUUCUAGGCCAGAAUGUGAUGCAAGGAAGAGACGUGAACCCCCCCCCCCAUAUUAAUCUGGAAAACCAUGUGCCAGGCUUUACAAACAAUGGCCUUUAUCUGAAUGGUUGUUAAAACACAUUCCUCCUGUUGAAAUCAUCUUUUUGAAGGGUUAUCCAGACCAUGUUUAUUUCAGAGGGAAAGGACAUUAUUUAUUUCAUUCAUGGCUCUCUUUCUCUAGAGUUGUGUACAAAAAAGAAAGAACGUAAACCAGUCUUAAAAGCAUUCUGGCAUGAAUCGAGACAACACGAGCAAAUAAAAAUACUGUGGGCUUCAGUGAGGCAUUUGAU